GCUUAUCUAACAAUGGUGAAAGAAAUUAACCCUAGAAAGUAGAAACAAAUUUCCACUACUGCCUGCCCGACUUAGACCCACCACCAAGCCACUGCCGCAACAUCCACCACCAUUGUUGCUUAAGCCCCCACAACCUCUCUUGCUUAACAACUUUGGCCUUUUUUCCUCUCUGUCUCGGUCUUUGUAGUUUAUUAUUAUAUAAUAAUAUCACAAAUAUAAAAAGGAUAUCUAAUAAUAAUGAUUCACCUCGCCAUCGCCGUUUCUUUUCUGCUUCAUCUCUCCAAUUAAUCUUAACAACAGU
RNAcentral lists this long non-coding RNA (301 nucleotides) under Linum usitatissimum (flax). RNAcentral's name for it is "long non-coding RNA (LUSI_LNC000936)". Lineage: Eukaryota; Viridiplantae; Streptophyta; Magnoliopsida; Malpighiales; Linaceae. The record is from RNAcentral.